This 759-nucleotide ribosomal RNA is filed under the name Neisseria subflava. Its description in RNAcentral is "bacterial SSU rRNA". It matches the Rfam family "Bacterial small subunit ribosomal RNA", at positions 28 to 776 of the family's 1533-position model. The record is from RNAcentral. Lineage: Bacteria; Pseudomonadati; Pseudomonadota; Betaproteobacteria; Neisseriales; Neisseriaceae.
AUUGAACGCUGGCGGCAUGCUUUACACAUGCAAGUCGGACGGCAGCACAGAGAAGCUUGCUUCUUGGGCGGCGAGUGGCGAACGGGUGAGUAAUAUAUCGGAACGUACCGAGUAAUGGGGGAUAACUAAUCGAAAGAUUAGCUAAUACCGCAUAUUCUCUGAGGAGGAAAGCAGGGGACCUUCGGGCCUUGCGUUAUUCGAGCGGCCGAUAUCUGAUUAGCUAGUUGGUGGGGUAAAGGCCUACCAAGGCGACGAUCAGUAGCGGGUCUGAGAGGAUGAUCCGCCACACUGGGACUGAGACACGGCCCAGACUCCUACGGGAGGCAGCAGUGGGGAAUUUUGGACAAUGGGCGCAAGCCUGAUCCAGCCAUGCCGCGUGUCUGAAGAAGGCCUUCGGGUUGUAAAGGACUUUUGUCAGGGAAGAAAAGGCUGUUGCUAAUAUCGACAGCUGAUGACGGUACCUGAAGAAUAAGCACCGGCUAACUACGUGCCAGCAGCCGCGGUAAUACGUAGGGUGCGAGCGUUAAUCGGAAUUACUGGGCGUAAAGCGAGCGCAGACGGUUACUUAAGCAGGAUGUGAAAUCCCCGGGCUCAACCUGGGAACUGCGUUCUGAACUGGGUGACUAGAGUGUGUCAGAGGGAGGUAGAAUUCCACGUGUAGCAGUGAAAUGCGUAGAGAUGUGGAGGAAUACCGAUGGCGAAGGCAGCCUCCUGGGAUAACACUGACGUUCAUGCUCGAAAGCGUGGGUAGCAAACAGG